RNAcentral lists this Y RNA (114 nucleotides) under Microcebus murinus (gray mouse lemur). RNAcentral describes it as "Y RNA (ENSMICG00000043080.1)". It matches the Rfam family "Y RNA". From Rfam's summary of the family: Y RNAs are components of the Ro ribonucleoprotein particle (Ro RNP), in association with Ro60 and La proteins. The Y RNAs and Ro60 and La proteins are well conserved, but the function of the Ro RNP is not known. Lineage: Eukaryota; Metazoa; Chordata; Mammalia; Primates; Cheirogaleidae. The record is from Rfam by way of RNAcentral.
GGCUGGUCCGAAGGCAGUGAGUUAUCUCACUUUAUUCUUAACAGUCAGUUAUCGAUUGAUCUCCUUGUUCUACUACAUCCCCUCCUUUUCAUUACUGUACUUGACUAGUCUGAU